Long non-coding RNA from Siniperca chuatsi (mandarin fish), 1810 nucleotides. RefSeq lists it as uncharacterized. Lineage: Eukaryota; Metazoa; Chordata; Actinopteri; Centrarchiformes; Sinipercidae. The transcript has 3 exons. The record is from RefSeq and is a predicted model, not a curated record.
UACAAUAAAGAGUUAUAAAGUUGGAGUGAGACGGUUAAAUAAUAAUAAAAAAAAUAAGUAGGUAAAUAGAUGAAUAAAUAAAGCAAGAACACAAAGGAUCCAGACUUGGACACAACAGGUUUAUUAAAGGGUAAAUCAGAUGACACCGUGGUCAUUUUAAUAAUAAGAUUUUAUAAUUUUAUAACUUUGUCACAUAACUGACAAUUUGAGUUUCCUCAAAUGAGUGAAACAGCGCCCCUCUGGGUUGUAACGGCUGGUGAAUGUCUGCCAGUCUGUGCGGUCAAACGAGGCGUUGCACCCUCAUGGUAUGGAGGUGUUGCGAAGAAAACAAAGUGAAGUUGCAUCUUUUCAUUAUAAAAUAGUACGUGGAUGCGGUCACUGUCAAGCUGCUGAUAAACCGAGAAUGGACAGGUGUCUGAAAAAGAAACCCUGAAGUGAAUUGUGAAGCCAGUUAAACUCACUACAAACAAUACAGUUAAAAACGGUAUUUAAAUGAAACAACACAGGAGAGUUAGCUUGUUCCCAGUGUUGCUAAUCCUGCUAGCUAAGUGUUUUUGAAGGGCUAAGCUAGCAGCAGAUGGAGAGAGGAGUUCUGCAGUGGGACGUUAUAUGAUGUGGACACUUCAUCUCAAAUCAAAUAACGCCCGAUCCAAGACCAUCAUACUAUGAAUCAUUAUCAUGCAAAAUCAAAGAUGGCAGUGGAUUUCUUCCCCGGCCCCUGAGAGUGCGUCUCAGCAGCAACUUGACACUAUCCAAGCUGCACCAACGCUGUGAUCCCACCGGCUGUACAUUAUCAGAACAACUUGUCAUUAAUAUCCCUGUCAAGCCUGCGUUGCAUACCAUUGCAAUCAGAAAAAGAGACUUGGACAAACUGACGGACAGGACGGACAGACAGGUUUAAAGGUUUCAGUCCUCCUGCCUGCUGCUGAUGAUAAAGGCAGUAAACCAUCAUGGCUCCAGUGUUAUCAGACACACACCUUUGGAUUAGAGCGGCUACACCUGCUGCUGCUGCUGCUGCUGCUCACACACUGACCUCAGCUCGGAGGAAUUGAAUCCGCCUGCCAACAAACACCUGCUCACCUGCCAUCUGCCCUGUAUGGGCAUCUGUGAUUAGUGUGUGUUUGUGUGUGUAGGCGUGUGGGUGUAGAUGGGUGUGGGCUGGUCGGAAUGGUGGCUUUGGAUUAUUGUGUGCUUGCAUCUUUGUGUGUGAACUUGCGCCCUAUGAUUUUUAUGUGUGUUAGAGGAGGUUUGUGUUUGUGUGUGUGUGUGUGUGUGUGUGUGUGUAUGAGUGGACAUGGAUUAUGAAUGCUUUUGCCGUGUCCCAAUUCCAGACUACAUACUGAUUCUAAGCAGGUUUUUAGUAUGUAAUGUGUUUACACUAGAAUAGUGACAAAAUAAAGUAUAAAACAGCCAGUAUGCAUACUAAAUACAGUCUCCCACAAUGCAGUGCUCAAAGGAAAUGGAGGGGCUGCUCACGGCUGAAAAAGAAAUUGUGGGUAGUGGUGAAACAACUCCAAAAAAAUCAAGUAUUAAAUCAUAAGAAAAACAUUUGAUGUCUAUUUGUGAUGUUUAAUUAGCAGUGAUAUUCCAAAGUUGCAGUCUGAUUGAUAUCUGUGACGCUUAGUAUGUAAUACAUACUGUAUAGAAUUAGUAUGUAGUAUGUAUUUGGGACACAGCUCAUGUCUUAUUUGAAGUGUUUCAUUGAACCUAUCUGGCUCUUAAUUAUGCUGUGACAUUCUCUACACCUUCUCUUGUGGUCCUGCAUUCAUGUAUUUUGCUUUUAAAAGACAAAUUAUAUAUUUUGUCCCUU